UAUUUUAAUUCCCAAUGGGAAAAUCGAUGUAUUCUGUGCACUGGUAAAAACAAGAACAAGAGCGGCGUGGGCCGUCGUGCUCGUUAUUUCCCGCCAGCGCGUCAGAUUCGGAGAAACGUGCUGCAAACUGUCCGCAUCAGACCUCGCUUUGCACCCCCCCCCCUCCUCUCUCUCUCUCUCUCUCUAUAUAUAUAUAUAUAUAAAUUACCUUUUUAUUUAAAUUUCACCAUUAAUUGGAUUUUUUUUACCCCCCCCCCCUCUCCGGUUCCAGCGACUUCGCCCCCUCGAAGAAUCUACUAUGUCAACCUGCAACUUCCUGUCAAACAAUAUGAUGCGGCUCGUUUUUCCGCGUCUCUCCUGGCGAACCGCGAUCCAGGUUACAGCUCCAAACAGCAGAACCGAACAGAACCAGGAGCGGCAAUACGAAUAAAUACACUAAUGAUUCGUCGAAUUACGUCGUUUUUACGGCGUGCAGACUGAGAGAUGGAGCUGAAGGAACGAGAUGUGUAGAUCGUGUCUGGCUCACAACCAUGCCGUCUCAUGCCAUUGCACCUAAACAAAUUAGCCAGUGAGCUCUCAGAGCACCGGCAUCUGGCACCGUUCUCCCAAAGAAGAAGCUUAAUGAUCUUUUUGCAGUUUUCUGAAACUCUUGUAAUAGACAUUUAGAAUGGGAAAUAACAUCCCACACUGGCAAAACCAGAGAUCUCCUGUUUCAGUCUGGGUGGUACUUUGACUAAUUAUGCCUUUCUCUGCAUGCAAUGCUCAGAUUUAACAGUGGCUAUUCACCUACGUGUAAUAAGGCAGAGGGUGAAGCAAUCAUUAUGCAAAAAAAAAAAGUUUGUGCCCUGUGAAAGAUUUCUGUCUCAGCGUUACCAUACGACUGCUGAUUCAGUCCCACUGUGACUCCAUAUCUGGAAGAGGUGGGUGGAUGGUGUAGAUUGUACCUUGGGGAGAAGGCAGAUCUGUAGAAGAAAUUCCAGCGUUCACUUAAAAUGUUUGUCUUCUGUCGCCUGAUUUGUUCAUUUUCACAUCCUUCAGUAAAUCAUGUGCUGCAUGUGUGUCGUUUUAAACAAUCCACCAUUACGGCCACACUCCUGUCUCUGUGCCUGCCAUAAAAUGGCACAUUCAUGCUUGCCUUGAAUGGACGUUGCAACAGGGAAGAAACAACAACAGUUGUCUGUAAUAUUAACUAUGAAUGCCCUCCUCUACAAAAUGUAGUGCUUUCCACUUAGGAAUGUGCUGGCAAAUUUGAUCUGUUCAAAAAGCAGCGUGCUCUGGAUUACUCCUCUAAUUAUCACAUGGCAUUCCUGUUUCUUCCUCUGGUAAUUGACUGGCAGCAUCUGCCUGGAGGCCUGAACAAAAGAUGCUCUUAAACUUGCACCGAGACUCCAUGGCCUCUGCUCUUCUGGAUGUUGAAAGGAGCCUCAGUGUUCAUUUCUGGUCAGACAGCUAGAAGGCCCAGCAGUGAGCAUGUCUGAAUGUGCAAUCGACUGAUAACAUCUUAACGUCUAUUAGAUUUUAGCCUUGUAAAGAAAGAAAAGGCCAAACAACGUAAACAGAAUGUCUGGUAAUCAAUUGAAUAAAGUUUGUUUGAGGGGGUGGCGGGCUGUUAUGGCAGAGAAUUAGAAAUGGCUCCAGCAAGACUGCGAGUGAUAGCUUUGGCCCAGAGGGGCCUUCGGAUGGGGUUCUAAUGCCAGGGGGCUGGCUUAGGAGGUUCCCAGCAUGGAACAUUUCACUCAGGGAUCCAGGCCUGGAGGUAUCGAGAACUUGACACAACACUGGAGGGCGUUUUCAUUCUUCCUUUGCUUUCUAAUGGCCAUUGUUCAUUGUAUUAUUCCUCCAUCUGUAAUACUUUUUUUUGACCCCC
Long non-coding RNA from Denticeps clupeoides (denticle herring), 1867 nucleotides. The record is from Ensembl. NCBI's taxonomy places the organism in Eukaryota, Metazoa, Chordata, Actinopteri, Clupeiformes, Denticipitidae.